CAGCAGCAGCCACGGGAAUACAGAGGGUGCGAGCGUUAAUCGGAUUUACUGGGCGUAAAGCGUGCGUAGGCGGCUUUUUAAGUCGGAUGUGAAAUCCCUGAGCUUAACUUAGGAAUUGCAUUCGAUACUGGGAAGCUAGAGUAUGGGAGAGGAUGGUAGAAUUCCAGGUGUAGCGGUGAAAUGCGUAGAGAUCUGGAGGAAUACCGAUGGCGAAGGCAGCCAUCUGGCCUAAUACUGACGCUGAGGUACGAAAGCAUGGGGAGCAAACAGGAUUAGAUACCCGAGUAGUCCCUGUCUCUUAUAC
This 304-nucleotide ribosomal RNA is filed under the name uncultured bacterium. RNAcentral describes it as "partial 16S ribosomal RNA". It matches the Rfam family "Bacterial small subunit ribosomal RNA", at positions 506 to 807 of the family's 1533-position model. The record is from RNAcentral.